GAGUGAUGAUGUUUUAAACCUAUUCCAUUUCUGAAACAAUAUGUGGAAAAAAAUAACUGAACUC
RNAcentral lists this small nucleolar RNA (64 nucleotides) under Opisthocomus hoazin. RNAcentral describes it as "Small nucleolar RNA SNORD98". It matches the Rfam family "Small nucleolar RNA SNORD98". From Rfam's summary of the family: The members of this family belong to the C/D class of snoRNAs which contain the C (UGAUGA) and D (CUGA) box motifs. Most of the members of the box C/D family function in directing site-specific 2'-O-methylation of substrate RNAs. Lineage: Eukaryota; Metazoa; Chordata; Aves; Opisthocomiformes; Opisthocomidae. The record is from Rfam by way of RNAcentral.